AAUAAGUGCAGUUUUGCACUAUUUACGUUCAACGUUUGACCGUCCGUCUUAUUUGAAAAAUUUGUGAAAAAAUUAAAAACAUUUAGUCACACAUAAAGUACUAUUCAUGUUUUAUCAUCUAAUAGCAAUAAAAAUACUAAUCAUAAAAAAUUUUCAAAUAAGACGGACGGUCAAACGUUGAACAUGAAUAGUGCAAAACUGCACUUAUU
Molecule: microRNA precursor, 209 nt
Organism: Oryza sativa Indica Group (long-grained rice)
Lineage: Eukaryota; Viridiplantae; Streptophyta; Magnoliopsida; Poales; Poaceae
Rfam family: MIR812 microRNA precursor family
Source: Rfam